This 396-nucleotide ribosomal RNA is filed under the name uncultured bacterium. RNAcentral describes it as "partial 16S ribosomal RNA". It matches the Rfam family "Bacterial small subunit ribosomal RNA", at positions 523 to 918 of the family's 1533-position model. The record is from RNAcentral.
AUACGAAGGGUGCAAGCGUUAAUCGGAAUUACUGGGCGUAAAGCGCGCGUAGGUGGUUUUGUAAGUUGGAGGUGAAAGCCCCGGGCUCAACCUGGGAAUUGCCUCCAAAACUGCAUGACUAGAGUACGGUAGAGGGUAGUGGAAUUUCCUGUGUAGCGGUGAAAUGCGUAGAUAUAGGAAGGAACACCAGUGGCGAAGGCGACUACCUGGACUGAUACUGACACUGAGGUGCGAAAGCGUGGGGAGCAAACAGGAUUAGAUCCCCUGGUAGUCCACGCCGUAAACGAUGUCAACUAGCCGUUGGGAUCCUUGAGAUCUUAGUGGCGCAGCUAACGCAUUAAGUUGACCGCCUGGGGAGUACGGCCGCAAGGUUAAAACUCAAAUGAAUUGGCGGGG